GGCACCAUAGCCAAGUGGUAAGGCACGGGCCUGCAAAGCCUUGACCCCCAGUUCAAGUCUGGGUGGUGCCUCCA
Molecule: transfer RNA, 74 nt
Filed under: Faecalibacterium sp. CAG:1138
Lineage: Bacteria; Bacillati; Bacillota; Clostridia; Eubacteriales; Oscillospiraceae
Also listed under: 2 other names
Description: transfer RNA-Cys(GCA)
Rfam family: tRNA
About the family: Transfer RNA (tRNA) molecules are approximately 80 nucleotides in length. Their secondary structure includes four short double-helical elements and three loops (D, anti-codon, and T loops).
Source: RNAcentral